AGAACGAACGCUGGCGGCAUGCCUAAUACAUGCAAGUCGAACGAACACUUCGGUGUUAGUGGCGCACGGGUGCGUAACGCGUGGGAAUCUGCCCUUGGGUUCGGAAUAACAGUUGGAAACGACUGCUAAUACCGGAUGAUAUCGAAAGAUCAAAGAUUUAUCGCCCAGGGAUGAGCCCGCGUAGGAUUAGCUAGUUGGUGAGGUAAAGGCUCACCAAGGCGGCGAUCCUUAGCUGGUCUGAGAGGAUGAUCAGCCACACGUGGGACUGAGACGACGGCCCAGACCUCCGUACGGGA
RNAcentral lists this ribosomal RNA (296 nucleotides) under uncultured soil bacterium. Its description in RNAcentral is "partial 16S ribosomal RNA". It matches the Rfam family "Bacterial small subunit ribosomal RNA", at positions 26 to 346 of the family's 1533-position model. The record is from RNAcentral.